Molecule: long non-coding RNA, 304 nt
Filed under: Phoenix dactylifera (date palm)
Lineage: Eukaryota; Viridiplantae; Streptophyta; Magnoliopsida; Arecales; Arecaceae
Description: long non-coding RNA (PDAC_LNC000061)
Source: RNAcentral
UUGAGCAGGGUGUACGAUCUUUAAGGUACAUAAGUUGGCAGGGUGUACGAUCUUUAAAUUUGAUUAUGAAUUGAGGUUUGCCUGGUCAUACCUUUUUAUUUAGCAAUCAGCUUUCGUGGAUUUGAAUUUUUUAAGUGUGCAGUUCUAAUAGCUAGGAUACAAGUUGAAGUGACACAUAUUUAGUCCCAAAAAAUAAGAUUAGAUAAGACAUAUUAAAUAAUAUUGAAUAUAUAAAAUGAAAUUAAAAUUAAAGAACUAAAAUAUGAGAUAGAGAUUGGAGAUUGGAGAUGGAUAAGAUUGUUUG